This 314-nucleotide long non-coding RNA is filed under the name Musa acuminata (dwarf banana). RNAcentral describes it as "long non-coding RNA (MACU_LNC010309)". Lineage: Eukaryota; Viridiplantae; Streptophyta; Magnoliopsida; Zingiberales; Musaceae. The record is from RNAcentral.
AGAUUAAAGAUAAACUGUAAUACAAAAAAUAUAUCAUAUAAAAUAUAUACCUUUUUAACAUAUUUAAUUCUACAAUAAAAACCUUAAUCAUGGGUCAAAGAAUAUUUUGAAAACUUUAACUGAUUACUUUAAUACAAAAAAAUUUGACAUUUAAAGAAUUGAUACACAUUUUUCAAACUAUAAAACUUUCAAUAUUUAAAGAAUCAAAAUAAAAGCUAAAACUUUUAAGAAAGGUAGGGAAACCUACCUCUUGUCAAUAGGGUGUAACUCCUCAUUCUCUUGUCAACAGGGUGUAACUCCUCGUUCCUCCCGCU